AGGGUUUGAUCCUGGCUCAGAACGAACGCUGGCGGCGUGCUUAACACAUGCAAGUCGAACGCGAAAUCGGGCACUCAAUUUUGCUUUUCAAACAUUAACUGAUAAAACGACCAGAGAGGUUGUUCCAGUUUAAAGAGUGAAAAGCAGGCUUGAGUGCCUGAGAGUAGAGUGGCGCACGGGUGAGUAACGCGUAAAUAAUCUACCCCUGCAUUCGGGAUAACCCACCGAAAGGUGUGCUAAUACCGGAUACGUUCUCUUUAUCGCGAGAUAAGGAGAAGAAAGGUGGCCUCUGAUAUAAGCUACUGUGCGGGGAGGAGUUUGCGUACCAUUAGCUAGUUGGUAGGGUAAUGGCCUACCAAGGCAACGAUGGUUAGCGGGUCUGAGAGGAUGAUCCGCCACACUGGAACUGGAACACGGACCAGACUCCUACGGGAGGCAGCAGUGAGGAAUAUUGCGCAAUGGGGGCAACCCUGACGCAGCGACGCCGCGUGGAUGAUGAAGGCCUUCGGGUCGUAAAAUCCUGUCAGAUGGAAAGAAAUGUUAUAUGGAUAAUACCUGUAUAGCUUGACGGUACCAUCAAAGGAAGCACCGGCUAACUCC
Molecule: ribosomal RNA, 600 nt
Filed under: uncultured bacterium
Lineage: Bacteria
Description: bacterial SSU rRNA
Rfam family: Bacterial small subunit ribosomal RNA
Source: RNAcentral